Molecule: ribosomal RNA, 437 nt
Filed under: uncultured Oscillospiraceae bacterium
Lineage: Bacteria; Bacillati; Bacillota; Clostridia; Eubacteriales; Oscillospiraceae
Description: partial 16S ribosomal RNA
Rfam family: Bacterial small subunit ribosomal RNA
Source: RNAcentral
ACGGGAGGCAGCAGUGGGGAAUAUUGGGCAAUGGGGGCAACCCUGACCCAGCAACGCCGCGUGAAGGAUGAAGGCUUUCGGGUUGUAAACUUCUUUUACCAGGGACGAUGAAAGUGACGGUACCUGGAGAAAAAGCCACGGCUAACUACGUGCCAGCAGCCGCGGUAAUACGUAGGUGGCGAGCGUUGUCCGGAUUUACUGGGUGUAAAGGGCGUGUAGGCGGAGCAGCAAGUCAGAAGUGAAAUCUAGGGGCUCAACCCCUAAGCUGCUUUUGAAACUGUUGCCCUUGAGUAUCGGAGAGGCAGGCGGAAUUCCUAGUGUAGCGGUGAAAUGCGUAGAUAUUAGGAGGAACACCAGUGGCGAAGGCGGCCUGCUGGACAACAACUGACGCUGAGGCGCGAAAGCGUGGGGAGCAAACAGGAUUAGAUACCCUGGUA